AUACUUACCUGGUAGGGGGGAUACUAGUUUCACAAAGGUGGUUUUCCCAGGGUGAAGCUUAUCCAUUGCACUCUGAUGUGCUGCCUCCUGCAAUUUCCCCAAAUGUGGGAAACUCAGAAUUUGCGAUAGUGAGGGACUGCAUUCGCGCCCUCUUC
Molecule: small nuclear RNA, 155 nt
Filed under: Carlito syrichta (Philippine tarsier)
Lineage: Eukaryota; Metazoa; Chordata; Mammalia; Primates; Tarsiidae
Description: U1 spliceosomal RNA (ENSTSYG00000021998.2)
Rfam family: U1 spliceosomal RNA
About the family: U1 is a small nuclear RNA (snRNA) component of the spliceosome (involved in pre-mRNA splicing). Its 5' end forms complementary base pairs with the 5' splice junction, thus defining the 5' donor site of an intron.
Source: RNAcentral